UUUAAAGUAAUUUGUAUUACGUCAUUUACUGUUUUUCUUUAACCUUCGAUAUGAAUUGCUUAUUAAUAUGUUAUCACCUCUUUUGUUGUUAUUGACAAUAGAAUUGACCAUAUGACCCCGACCUUCUAUGGUUUACGAUCUCAUUAGCCUAACCUAGGACUCUCCUUGCUUCUUUAACCUCGCACGAUCGAAUAGCCCGAUAACAUUAUGUACGCUUGAACUUGCUCGACGUCGCUUCCCGCGUUUCAAUCGGCUCGAGGAUUGCAAAUGACGAUAAGAAGAUCGAUAGAGAUGAUCGGUUUUUAGUUAUCUCGUCAAUAUGUUAAUCGAUAUAUGUAUCGAUCAAUCUCGGAACUCAAAAAUUCCUGUGCACUGUUAAUAUCACGCUUCGAUAUCUUAAACAAUUGCGAUUCUCGUAGAAUACUGCCAAGAACGUAAUUAGCAUUCAAAGAAGGAAAUUAACGUUGAAAGUCCGUAUUUCGUCUUACGUUUGAAUCAUUACGUACACUAACGUGCAUAAGUAUUUAAACGCUUUCAAAUAAUCGCAAAUACAUACAUAAAAUAUUCUUCAAAUAAAGCUCUUUAAUCUAAUCUCGGGUAACCAUUUACAUUUAGUAAAUAUUGAUGAAAACAGUAGUUGAUAUUAAUUAAUAUAAACAGAAAAGUAAGAAAUCCUAAAGUCAAACCUAAGUUAAGUAACGUUAAAUGUGCUUAUCCAAUAUUGAAAAUAAGCGUCGUACUAAGUCGUAGAAUAAGCGAAGUAUGUGUUUACAAACACAUCCGACAAGUUUAUAUAAAAAAAAUAUUCUAACUGUAAUUUGGUGAAACAUUUGACCUCAGGUAUGGCAAACAACAAAGAAUUAACGGUAGAGAAAUAGACUUCUAUCGUAAUUUUAAAGAUAUAAUAUUAAUAUUAUAAUAUUAAUUAAUAUUAUAAUAUUAAUAUUAAAAUAUUAAUGUUUUAAUUUAAAUGUUUUAAUUGUAUCAAGCGUCCAAAUUUUUAUGAAUGGUAGUGUACAUUCAAACAAAUUAUUUUGUCCAAAGUAGGCAAGUGUGCGGUAUCAAAUCAAAUUAAGUAUCGAUUUUUGAUAAUUCGAAUCAUUAACUAUGAUUAUUCUCCUUAGAGUCGAUUCGUCAGAUUCGCAUACUGAACUUGAUCCCGUUCCAUUUGAUCGACAAUUGCGAACGCGUGCCAGAAUCAACCGGCAGCACGAAAAACAGCGGAAAUGCGAAUUCUGUUCUUUACCUCGGUAGUCCAGUGAGAACAGGAACGUCGCCGCAUCCCAUGGACCCGUGCGUAGACAUCUCUAACCGUAGAAAAUCCAACGACAUAGGAAACAACGGAGAAAAGAACGUGACGAUAUCCAUUAUUGAGUUACUGCGAGUACUACCUCAAUAAAGAGAAAAACGUAAAGAAUCAUGGGAAGCUUGAAGGAGAACAGAAUCUUGAGGUAGUGAUGGAACCGAUUCGUCGAUCAUUGCAAAAUAUCAGAAACACGAGUAUGUAUUUCAAAUGUAUUUCUAUAUAACAACACUUUCACAUAAGACUCAAAUAAGAACUUUAGAUUAGAAGAAUGCAGUAUGAGGCAGAUAAUUCUGUUAACCAAGUUCAUUUCUGGAUGUGUUGGUUGAAAUUAAUAAAUACUAUACUACUAUAUAACACUUUCACAAAUAUGUAAGUUCAGAUAGUUAACAGUUCCUUUAUUUACAGAAUACCGUAGCCGUUGCUUGCGAAUACGUUGUUCCCAUCACUACCGGUCGCAAAUUUCCCUCCCUCGAGUCUGAAUCUCGAGACUAUCGAGCUGUCUUGAAGUUCCGAUGAAUAACUCUCAUUUGACGUAGUGACCACUCGCGAACUAGCAAAAUCUUUUUACAGAAACUCGUAUGGAUCAAGGAGCAUGCAGUCCAGAAAAUAUUUUCGCGAUAGAUUAUCCUUUGACGGAGUGCACUGGCUGUUCACAUACUCGAACCGUGUGUCUCGUUCGCGAAUUCGCGGCACACAGACGGCUGGCAG
This is a long non-coding RNA of Bombus terrestris (buff-tailed bumblebee), 2014 nucleotides long. RefSeq lists it as uncharacterized. NCBI's taxonomy places the organism in Eukaryota, Metazoa, Arthropoda, Insecta, Hymenoptera, Apidae. The record is from RefSeq and is a predicted model, not a curated record. The transcript is spliced from 2 exons.